Unclassified non-coding RNA from Notechis scutatus (mainland tiger snake), 266 nucleotides. Its record names the gene 7SK. It matches the Rfam family "7SK RNA". From Rfam's summary of the family: 7SK was discovered as an abundant small nuclear RNA in the mid-70s but a possible function has only recently been suggested. Two independent studies have found that 7SK RNA binds the CDK9/cyclin T complex (known as elongation factor P-TEFb). P-TEFb activates transcription by phosphorylating the C-terminal domain of RNA polymerase II. The record is from Ensembl. NCBI's taxonomy places the organism in Eukaryota, Metazoa, Chordata, Lepidosauria, Squamata, Elapidae.
AGACUUGAGGGAAAUCUAGCUGCGACAUCUGUCACCCCCAUUGAUCACCAGGGUUAAUUCAGCUGAUCUGGAUGUCCCCUUCUUUCGUCACCACUCCAUGUGCAUUCCUCCCAAAGUUACAUGCUCGGUGGAACAUGAUAACCAUCCCAGAGAGAAGGAGUGUACACCUGACUAGCUGCUAAAUUCAUCAGAAUUUUAUUUUCUCCAGUGAGGAUAAGAGACAUGGUAAGGCAAGCUUAUUAAUUAUAAUGGAAGUGUUCUUCCUU